This is a non-coding RNA of Gnomoniopsis sp. IMI 355080, 79 nucleotides long. The record is from the annotation of a GenBank genome assembly. NCBI's taxonomy places the organism in Eukaryota, Fungi, Ascomycota, Sordariomycetes, Diaporthales, Gnomoniaceae.
GCCCGCAUGGCUCAGAGGUAGAGCGUCGCACUCGUAAUGCGAAGGUCGUCAGUUCAAGUGUCAGUCCUGUCUGUGAUCU